UAUGAAAGGGUAAACGAGGAGGGCGCUGUGUCUAAGAACUUAGUUUAAACUAACUUAAAGGUGAAGAGGCCUUUAUAAGAAAGAAGGACGACAAGACCCUAUGAAGCUUUAUCUUAUUAGGGAAUUGAAAGAUCCUUAUACGAUUUUGAUGGGAGAUCAGUAAAAAUAAGUCUUUUACCAUUAUUUUUAUCUUACAAGUGUUUCCCAAUUUUAUAUGUGUGACUAGCUACUCUAGGGAUAACAGCGCAAUUUCUCCCGAAAGAUGGUAUUGGAGGGGAAGAUUGCGACCUCUAUGUUGCC
This 300-nucleotide ribosomal RNA is filed under the name Mytilus coruscus. RNAcentral's name for it is "partial 16S ribosomal RNA". It matches the Rfam family "Bacterial large subunit ribosomal RNA", at positions 1991 to 2536 of the family's 2925-position model. The record is from RNAcentral. Lineage: Eukaryota; Metazoa; Mollusca; Bivalvia; Mytilida; Mytilidae.